Molecule: ribosomal RNA, 460 nt
Filed under: Granulicatella adiacens
Lineage: Bacteria; Bacillati; Bacillota; Bacilli; Lactobacillales; Carnobacteriaceae
Description: bacterial SSU rRNA
Rfam family: Bacterial small subunit ribosomal RNA
Source: RNAcentral
GACGAACGCCGGCGGCGUGCCUAAUACAUGCAAGUCGAACGAGAGCGACCGGUGCUUGCACUGGUCAAUCUAGUGGCGAACGGGUGAGUAACACGUGGGUAACCUGCCCAUCAGAGGGGGAUAACAUUCGGAAACGGAUGCUAAAACCGCAUAGGUCCUUUAACCGCAUGGUUGAAGGAGGAAAAGAGGCGCAAGCUUCUGCUGAUGGAUGGACCCGCGGUGCAUUAGCUAGCUGGUGAGGUAACGGCUCACCAAGGCCGUGAUGCAUAGCCGACCUGAGAGGGUGAUCGGCCACAUUGGGACUGAGACACGGCCCAAACUCCUACGGGAGGCAGCAGUAGGGAAUCUUCCGCAAUGGACGCAAGUCUGACGGAGCAACGCCGCGUGAGUGAAGAAGGUUUUCGGAUCGUAAAACUCUGUUGUUAGAGAAGAACAAGUGCUAGAGUAACUGUUAGCGCCU